CGGCGACCGGCGCACGGGUGAGUAACGCGUAUCCAACCUGCCCAUAACUAAGGGAUAACCCAGCGAAAGUUGGACUAAUACCUUAUGUAUUCGUUUGAUCUCAUGAGAUUACGAAUAAAGAUUUAUCGGUUAUGGAUGGGGAUGCGUCUGAUUAGCUUGUUGGCGGGGUAACGGCCCACCAAGGCAACUAUCAGUAGGGGUUCUGAGAGGAAGGUCCCCCACAUUGGAACUGAGACACGGUCCAAACUCCUACGGGAGGCAGCAGCA
This 267-nucleotide ribosomal RNA is filed under the name uncultured Prevotella sp. RNAcentral's name for it is "partial 16S ribosomal RNA". It matches the Rfam family "Bacterial small subunit ribosomal RNA", at positions 89 to 355 of the family's 1533-position model. Lineage: Bacteria; Pseudomonadati; Bacteroidota; Bacteroidia; Bacteroidales; Prevotellaceae. The record is from RNAcentral.